UUCAAUUUUAAUGAAGGAAUCACAAGGUCAAUGAAAAUGUCUCAUUUGGUACAUACACCCCAGGCUGGGCGUAGAAUUGUUGAAAGAUAUGAACGAUGCCAAGGAAUCCUCUUCUUCAGAGUGUAAUUGCUCUACUGAAUUUCAGAAUUCACAACAAAUGGAUUGGCUCAGGGUUCAAGAUUCUCUAAAAGGGCAACUGAUUACUGAAGAUGAUUUCAAAUGGAGAUUACCCGCAAGAGAAAAAGAAGGGAGCUGUGAAAUACUGAAGUAUGUUGGUGGGGUUGACUUAAGUUUCUCAAAAGAUGAUUCAACUAUUGCCUGUGGCACCCUUGUUGUGUUGGAUUUGCAGACUCACAAAGUUGUUUAUGAAGAUUCUUCUAUUGUUAGACUUCAAAUCCCAUAUGUUCCUGGUUUCCUUGCUUUCAGAGAGGCUCCUGUACUCCUGAAGCUUUUGGAUAAAAUGAAGAACAAUGGUCAUCCUUUUUACCCCCAGUGCUUAUGUUCACAGCUGCUGAUAGUUGAUGGCAAUGGAUUGCUUCAUCCUCGAGGUUUUGAUUUGGCUUGUCACAUUGGCGUCUUAGCUGAUCUUCCUACUGUUGGUGUGGGAAAGAAUCUGCACCAUGUGGACGGUCUUACACAAUCUAGGGUAAGAGAACUCCUUCAAGCAGUGGACUCUCCUGAAAAUGUCUUGCCCCUAGUUGGGGACUCUGGAUGUACCUGGGGAGCGGUAAGGAGGCAAUGCGAUCAUCUCAGGGCUCUUUGAAGCCUAUAUUUAUUUCAGUUGGUCACCGAAUAUCUCUCGCCACUGCCACUGAAAUUGUGAGGAUGACUUGCAGAUUUCGUGUUCCAGAGCCCAUCCGGCAGGCUGAUAUAAGAUCAAGGGAGCGCCUGCAGAACAAUUAAUGAUUAUGUCCAUAAUCGCUUCUCUAUAUAUUUGGUAGGUUCUGAGUUUGGUGAAUUACAAUUAGUAAUGUUGGUAAUAUGAUUCAAGAGUAAUAGGAUGUCGAAAUAUUAUAAGAGGUUGAGUUCAAGAGUUGCUGAAAUAAAUCAAAUUCACCCUUUUUCGUGCUUUAUUGUUUUCAAGCUGGAAAUUUCUGCUACGUUUGACAUGGUUGCGGUCAAGGCAAAUGAAGGAUCAAGGUUUAUGUUGUCUUUGCUGUGUGAACAGCAAACUGAUAGUGUUUUUUAUAGGAUGAUUGACAACUUCCUGCUUCAAGAUCUGUAGAUAUACUUACUACUUAAAUAGUCUUCCGACCACAACCGACCCUCUUUUCCAAACUCCAAGACCUCAUUGUAACCUGUCUCAACAUGGUCCAGGCAAGCUUAAUUUGGUAUUUGUGUCACUCAGGGAUCGAGGAUAUUAUGCUUCAAUUUGGCCAGGAUCAAAGUGUCAUUUUCUCGGUCCGUCUUCUGUUAGUGUUUUUUCAUUCAUACCAUGGAAAGCUCGACUAAACCAGGAAUUGUAUAGGAGUAAUGAAGAAGAGAGAAGGCAAAGAACAUUGGAUUCUGUAGGUACAAAACAGAGAGAGAACAUUAAAUUCUGAGAGAAGAAAAACAUUCAUACAGCUGCUAUUUUCCAUUUCAUAUUUGCUUUAGGAUAUCAGCAUUUUUGUUAGCUUGUAUAACUUAUGCAUGUCAGGCAAAAUAUGCGCACAAGUUGGCCUGGACACCACGGUAUAAAAAAUAAAUAAAUUAUAAACUC
Molecule: RNA transcript, 1702 nt
Organism: Lycium barbarum (goji berry)
Lineage: Eukaryota; Viridiplantae; Streptophyta; Magnoliopsida; Solanales; Solanaceae
Exons: 8
Source: RefSeq, a predicted model, not a curated record